AAGUCGUAACAAGGUUUCCGUAGGUGAACCUGCGGAAGGAUCAUUCAAAAUAAAGCUGGUAGGAAGUGGGGGUCUUGAUCCGUAAGUGGUAGAGCGAACAGCCGGCUGCUCCCGAAAUGUCUUACAUGUCCCCCAAGCCUGAAGGCCGAAUUCAACCCUUGAUUAUCUACACUUGUUGCUUUGGGGUGCUCAAGGCCCCAGAGGACCCAACUCUCUUGCAUUUAGUGACGUCUGAGUACUAUAUAAUAUUUAAAA
Molecule: unclassified non-coding RNA, 255 nt
Filed under: plant metagenome
Description: partial contains small subunit ribosomal RNA and internal transcribed spacer 1
Rfam family: Eukaryotic small subunit ribosomal RNA (bases 1-46)
Source: RNAcentral